AGCACCUCUUGUGCUCUUCCCCGAUUGGCUGAAUGGACACAACUGGCAGGAAGUCAGUAAGAGAGUAACAGUCCAGCAGGGUCCUGCUCCAGUAAGCAUCUCUUACUCAAGCCAAGAAGCACAACUUGGCAGCACAGAUAGGAAAUUGAUCAGAUCCAAUGACUUGGGUGUGUAAAUGAUGGUUUAGGACUUCAGCCUACACCCAGAGAGGUGUGUAGUAAUACAAAACAGAACAGUGUGUGUUGCCUGAGAGAGCUGACAGAGCAGUGGAAGCAGUAGUUGAGGUGAGAUAUGGCCCUAAACUCUCUGUCCAUCUCAGGAGGGCUUUUAGCCUCGUGCUAAGCGUGCAGGGCUGUCCUGGGCUAUUUACAGAGGUGACUUAUGGUGGCUAGUGUAAGGUACACUGUGUCUCUGUAAGAAGACACUGCUGCUCUGACAGGCAGGGGAUUGCUGAGGUGAAUACACUGACAGCGGAGCCCAGGUGCAUCGACUGUAGGCCGGCUGGUAAAGGGUCCUUUAGAUUUAUUUAUCCGUGAGGCGCUGCUUGAAUGCCAUGGGGCAAAGGACAAUAGACGCACUUAAGUGAUGCAAUCAUAAAUGGACACUGGAGCGGUUGUGUUCUUUAGGUCCAUUGGGCCAAGACAAGCUGACCCAAUCACAACUUGAUUGACAAUCAGACAGCAGGUGAUUGAAUAUGUGUGCAUUCAUCACUUGACAUAUACUUCCUGGUAUAUAGUUCCCUAUCAAUACCUCCCUCCAUCCUGUUCGUCAUGUUCUCACAUUCUCCAACCUGCCUCCUUCAGGUCAGCAUCUAUCUAGUCAUAUUUGGCAGGAUGCCACACCUGAAGGAUCCAUGAACCCUCAACUCGACCUCACCCCAUAAUUUCCACUUGUUCUGUUUGCCUUCCUCCUCACCUGUCAACAGCCUCCAACCCACUCAUCUGAAAUCCUAAGUGCAAAAGCCAUGACUGCAUCCAGGAAUCCCCAACUGUAGCCAAAUUCUCCAUGUGAAACCCUUCCCUUCCUUCCCCUCUUCCCACCGUGACCCUUCCCCGACAUGGACCAUAGAUCCAUCCAC
Molecule: long non-coding RNA, 1078 nt
Organism: Siniperca chuatsi (mandarin fish)
Lineage: Eukaryota; Metazoa; Chordata; Actinopteri; Centrarchiformes; Sinipercidae
Exons: 3
Source: RefSeq, a predicted model, not a curated record